UACGUAGGGGGCUAGCGUUAUCCGGAAUUACUGGGCGUAAAGGGUGCGUAGGUGGUUUCUUAAGUCAGAGGUGAAAGGCUACGGCUCAACCGUAGUAAGCCUUUGAAACUGGGAAACUUGAGUGCAGGAGAGGAGAGUGGAAUUCCUAGUGUAGCGGUGAAAUGCGUAGAUAUUGGGAGGAACACCAGUUGCGAAGGCGGCUCUCUGGACUGUAACUGACACUGAGGCACGAAAGCGUGGGGAGCAAACAGG
This 252-nucleotide ribosomal RNA is filed under the name uncultured bacterium. Its description in RNAcentral is "partial 16S ribosomal RNA". It matches the Rfam family "Bacterial small subunit ribosomal RNA", at positions 524 to 776 of the family's 1533-position model. The record is from RNAcentral.